RNAcentral lists this ribosomal RNA (1078 nucleotides) under Barrina polyspora. Its description in RNAcentral is "eukaryotic LSU rRNA". It matches the Rfam family "Eukaryotic large subunit ribosomal RNA", at positions 22 to 1132 of the family's 3401-position model. Lineage: Eukaryota; Fungi; Ascomycota; Sordariomycetes; Coniochaetales; Coniochaetaceae. The record is from RNAcentral.
UACCCGCUGAACUUAAGCAUAUCAAUAAGCGGAGGAAAAGAAACCAACAGGGAUUGCCCCAGUAACGGCGAGUGAAGCGGCAACAGCUCAAAUUUGAAAUCUGGCCCCCGGCCCGAGUUGUAAUUUGUAGAGGACGCUCCUGGCGAGGUGCCUUCUGAGUUCCCUGGAACGGGACGCCGUAGAGGGUGAGAGCCCCGUACAGUCGGACACCUAGCCUCUGUGGAGCUCCUUCGACGAGUCGAGUAGUUUGGGAAUGCUGCUCAAAACGGGAGGUAUAUCUCUUCUAAAGCUAAAUACAGGCCGGAGACCGAUAGCGCACAAGUAGAGUGAUCGAAAGAUGAAAAGCACUUUGAAAAGAGGGUUAAAUAGCACGUGAAAUUGUUGAAAGGGAAGCGCUUGUGACCAGACUUGUGCCGGGCCGAUCACCCAGCGUUCUCGCUGGUGCGCUCGACCCGGCCCAGGCCAGCGUCGGUUCCCGCGGGGGGACAAAAACUUCGGGAACGUGGCUCCUCCGGGAGUGUUAUAGCCCGCUGUGCAAUGCCCUCGCGGGGACCGAGGUUCGCGCUCUGCAAGGACGCUGGCAUAAUGGUCACCAGCGACCCGUCUUGAAACACGGACCAAGGAGUCGAGGUUUUGCGCGAGUGUUUGGGUGUCAAACCCGCACGCGUAAUGAAAGUGAACGUAGGUGAGAGCUUCGGCGCAUCAUCGACCGAUCCUGAUGUAUUCGGAUGGAUUUGAGUAGGAGCGUAUAGCCUCGGACCCGAAAGAUGGUGAACUAUGCCUGAAUAGGGUGAAGCCAGAGGAAACUCUGGUGGAGGCUCGCAGCGGUUCUGACGUGCAAAUCGAUCGUCAAAUUUGGGCAUGGGGGCGAAAGACUAAUCGAACCAUCUAGUAGCUGGUUACCGCCGAAGUUUCCCUCAGGAUAGCAGUGUUGUUCUUCAGUUUUAUGAGGUAAAGCGAAUGAUUAGGGACUCGGGGGCGCUAUAUAGCCUUCAUCCAUUCUCAAACUUUAAAUAUGUAAGAAGCCCUUGUUGCUUCAUUGAACGUGGGCAUUCGAAUGUACCAACACUAGUGGGCC